AAUGAAAAAUUCAUUUCAUUUGUAAUAGCAAUUUGCAUUUUGCUAAACUAACAACAUAUUUAUGGUUUGCUAAACAAAAUCACAUUUACGGCUUGCAAAACUAUGACACGAUCGAUGACCACAACCGUGCCAACCACAGUGGUCUUACAUGUUAACUAUGGCCAUGGCGGAAAUUCGCCAAAGGUGACCCCUACAAUCAUUUUGAAUCACCACUUGCGUCAAAGGGUAUGCUAUCAUCCACAAGGAGUGGUUUUCUCAUGUAUUUUCAGACAUGAUGAGGAAGAAACAGAAACUCCUUAGAGAUAAAAAGUAUAAUGAAACAUUUUAUGCAUUAUGCAUGCUAAUAUCAAUGCAUGUUUCUCAUGUCUACACAUAAUUUCAUGCUUAAUCAUUUUUCUACCGUUUAAUUGCAUCACAUAUCAAUAUUUGUUACAUCUAAAUUACACAUGCAAAUUAACAAGUUCAUACACGAUCAAAGAUAUGCGUUAACACUUGAAAUUACUUAGUUUAGGCAUAAAACUUAACCAUGAAAUCACUAAUUUAAAUUUAUUAUUUACUCUAGAAAUGCUCCUUAGGAUGUUCAAAAGUAAAUACUAAAUUUCUUACCGAAACUUCGAUAUUUUUUGUGCCUUUUCUUCUUUUUCUCCUCUCCCUCUCUCUUGACAGCUCCCUCUCUCUCUAAAACUCUUAGAGGAUAGAAGAAUUGAAAUGGAAGUGAUGGGAAAAUGGUGAAGGGAGGGUCACUAUUUAUAGAAAAUGGGGACUGUUGGAUUUAUGCCAAGUGGCAAAAUUUGAUGAGGAGAGAGAAAGUCAAUGGGUAAUGUGUGAUGUGGUGACUGACGAAUGUGACCAACGAAUGGACAAUGCGACAUGACGGUGGUGCAAAACUUAGAGGUAUGCCACCC
RNAcentral lists this long non-coding RNA (905 nucleotides) under Carica papaya (papaya). RNAcentral describes it as "long non-coding RNA (CPAP_LNC000562)". Lineage: Eukaryota; Viridiplantae; Streptophyta; Magnoliopsida; Brassicales; Caricaceae. The record is from RNAcentral.